RNAcentral lists this ribosomal RNA (1404 nucleotides) under metagenome. RNAcentral's name for it is "bacterial LSU rRNA". It matches the Rfam family "Bacterial large subunit ribosomal RNA", at positions 1501 to 2925 of the family's 2925-position model. The record is from RNAcentral.
AAAAGCCCGGUGCAAGCGGGGUACCAGUCACUUUGGCAAAUCCGGGUGGCAAUGGGAAGCCGUGAUGCGGAGCGAAAUAAAGUAGUGAAGUCCGUGAGCCAUGCGUCAAGAAAAGCCGCUAUUGUUUAUACCGUACCCGUACCGUAAACCGACACAGGUGGAUGAGGAGAGAAUCCUAAGGCCGGCGGAAGAAGCAUUGUCAAGGAACUCGGCAAAAUGGCCCCGUAACUUAGGGAUAAGGGGUGCCUGGGAAACCAGGCCGCAGAGAAUAGUCUCAAGCAACUGUUUAGCAAAAACACAGGUCUAUGCGAAACCGAAAGGUGAGGUAUAUGGGCUGACGCCUGCCCGGUGCUGGAAGGUUAAGAGGAGAGGUUAGCGGUAACGCGAAGCUUUGAAUUUAAGCCCCAGUAAACGGCGGCCGUAACGAUAACGGUCCUAAGGUAGCGAAAUUCCUUGUCGGGUAAGUUCCGACCCGCACGAAAGGCGUAAUGAUUUGAGCGCUGUCUCGACAAUGCAUCCGGUGAAAUUGAAGUACCAGUGAAGAUGCUGGUUACCUGCGCCAGGACGGAAAGACCCCAUGGAGCUUUACUCCAGUCUGGUACUGGGACUCGGUAUUGCAUGUACAGGAUAGGUGGGAGGCUGAGAUGGUAACGCCAGUUGCCAUGGAGCCGCUGUUGGGAUACCACCCUUGCAGUAUUGGGUUUCUAACCAGCCGCCGUGACCCGGCGGUGGGACAAUGCCAGACGGGGAGUUUGACUGGGGCGGUCGCCUCCGAAAGGGUAUCGGAGGCGCCCAAAGGUUCCCUCAGAAUGGACGGAAACCAUUCGAAGAGUGCAAAGGCAGAAGGGAGCUUGACUGCGACACCGACGGGUGGAGCAGGUACGAAAGUAGGGCUUAGUGAUCCGGUGGUAUUAAGUGGGAAUGCCAUCGCUCAACGGAUAAAAGCUACCCUGGGGAUAACAGGCUUAUCACUCCCAAGAGUUCACAUCGACGGAGUGGUUUGGCACCUCGAUGUCGGCUCAUCGCAUCCUGGGGCUGUAGUAGGUCCCAAGGGUUGGGCUGUUCGCCCAUUAAAGCGGUACGCGAGCUGGGUUCAGAACGUCGUGAGACAGUUCGGUCCCUAUCCGGCGUGGGCGUAGGAUAUCUGAGAGGAGCUGUCCUUAGUACGAGAGGACCGGGAUGGACGGGCCGCUGGUGCAUCGGUUAGACUGCCAAGUCUACGGCCGAGUAGCCAAGCCCGGAAGGGAUAAACGCUGAAGGCAUCUAAGCGUGAAGCCCCCCUUAAGAUGAGAUAUCCCAUUCGAAAGAAGUAAACCCCCUUGAAGACGACGAGGUAGAUAGGGCAGAGGUGGAAGUGCAGCAAUGCAUGGAGCUGACUGUUACUAAUCGGGUGAGGGCUUGACC